CCUACGGGUGGCAGCAGUGAGUAAUAUUGGUCAAUGGACGAGAGUCUGAACCAGCCAAGUAGCGUGAAGGAUGACUGCCCGAUGGGUUGUAAACUUCGUUUAUAUGGGAAUAAAAUGUUCCACGUGUGGGAUUUUGUAUGUACCAUAUGAAUAAGGAUCGGCUAACUCCGUGCCAGCAGCCGCGGUAAUACGGAGGAUCCGAGCGUUAUCCGGAUUUAUUGGGUUUAAAGGGAGCGUAGGUGGAUUGUUAAGUCAGUUGUGAAAGUUUGCGGCUCAACCGUAAAAUUGCAGUUGAAACUGGCAGUCUUGAGUACAGUAGAGGUGGGCGGAAUUCGUGGUGUAGCGGUGAAAUGCUUAGAUAUCACGAAGAACUCCGAUUGCGAAGGCAGUUCACUGGACUGCAACUGACACUGAGGCUCGAAAGUGUGGGUAUCAAACAGGAUUAGAUACCCUUGUAGUC
Molecule: ribosomal RNA, 460 nt
Filed under: uncultured bacterium
Lineage: Bacteria
Description: partial 16S ribosomal RNA
Rfam family: Bacterial small subunit ribosomal RNA
Source: RNAcentral